GACGAACGCUGGCGGCGUGCUUAACACAUGCAAGUCGAACGGAAAGGCCCUGCUUUUGUGGGGUGCUCGAGUGGCGAACGGGUGAGUAACACGUGAGUAACCUGCCCUUGACUUUGGGAUAACUUCAGGAAACUGGGGCUAAUACCGGAUAGGAGCUCCUGCUGCAUGGUGGGGGUUGGAAAGUUUCGGCGGUUGGGGAUGGACUCGCGGCUUAUCAGCUUGUUGGUGGGGUAGUGGCUUACCAAGGCUUUGACGGGUAGCCGGCCUGGGAGGGUGACCGGCCACAUUGGGACUGAGAUACGGCCCAGACUCCUACGGGAGGCAACAGUGGGGAAUAUUGCACAAUGGGCGGAAGCCUGAUGCAGCAACGCCGCGUGCGGGAUGACGGCCUUCGGGUUGUAAACCGCUUUCGCCUGUGACGAAGCGUGAGUGACGGUAAUGGGGAAAGAAGCACCGGCUAACUACGU
RNAcentral lists this ribosomal RNA (467 nucleotides) under uncultured bacterium. RNAcentral's name for it is "partial 16S ribosomal RNA". It matches the Rfam family "Bacterial small subunit ribosomal RNA", at positions 28 to 506 of the family's 1533-position model. The record is from RNAcentral.